Molecule: ribosomal RNA, 253 nt
Filed under: uncultured bacterium
Lineage: Bacteria
Description: partial 16S ribosomal RNA
Rfam family: Bacterial small subunit ribosomal RNA
Source: RNAcentral
GACGAACCGUGCGAACGUUGUUCGGAAUCACUGGGCUUAAAGGGCGCGUAGGCGGCUCGCGAGGUCGGGGGUGAAAUCCCACAGCUUAACUGUGGAAGUGCCUUCGAUACCGGCGGGCUCGAGGAAGGUAGGGGUGCGCGGAACUUCUGGUGGAGCGGUGAAAUGCGUUGAUAUCAGAAGGAACGCCGGCGGCGAAAGCGGCGCACUGGACCUUUUCUGACGCUGAGGCGCGAAAGCCAGGGGAGCAAACGGG